AACGAACGCUGGCGGCAUGCCUAACACAUACAAGUCGAACGAGACCUUCGGGUCUAGUGGCGCACGGGUGCGUAACGCGUGGGAACCUGCCCUUAGGUUCGGAAUAACUCCCCGAAAGGGGUGCUAAUACCGGAUAAUGUCUUCGGACCAAAGAUUUAUCGCCUUUGGAUGGGCCCGCGUUGGAUUAGCUAGUUGGUAGGGUAAAAGCCUACCAAGGCGACGAUCCAUAGCUGGUCUGAGAGGAUGAUCAGCCACACUGGGACUGAGACACGGCCCAGACUCCUACGGGAGGCAGCAGUGGGGAAUAUUGGACAAUGGGCGAAAGCCUGAUCCGGCAAUGCCGCGUGAGUGAUGAAGGCCUUAGGGUUGUAAAGCUCUUUUACCCGGGAUGAUAAUGACAGUACCGGGAGAAUAAGCUCCGGCUAACUCCGUG
RNAcentral lists this ribosomal RNA (433 nucleotides) under uncultured bacterium. RNAcentral describes it as "partial 16S ribosomal RNA". It matches the Rfam family "Bacterial small subunit ribosomal RNA", at positions 29 to 507 of the family's 1533-position model. The record is from RNAcentral.